UACGUAGGGGGCAAGCGUUGUCCGGAAUCAUUGGGCGUAAAGCGUGUGUAGGCGGGUUGGUAAGUACCUUGUGAAAUCCCACGGCUUAACCGUGGAAAUGCUUGGUAUACUGCCGAUCUUGAGUCAUUUAGGGGCAGCCGGAACAGAUGGUGGAGCGGUGAAAUGCGUAGAUAUCAUCUGGAACGCCAAUGGUGCAGACAGGCUGCUGGGAAUGAACUGACGCUGAGGCACGAAAGCCAGGGGAGCGAACGGG
This 253-nucleotide ribosomal RNA is filed under the name uncultured bacterium. RNAcentral's name for it is "partial 16S ribosomal RNA". It matches the Rfam family "Bacterial small subunit ribosomal RNA", at positions 524 to 776 of the family's 1533-position model. The record is from RNAcentral.